This 474-nucleotide ribosomal RNA is filed under the name uncultured organism. RNAcentral's name for it is "partial 16S ribosomal RNA". It matches the Rfam family "Bacterial small subunit ribosomal RNA", at positions 335 to 800 of the family's 1533-position model. The record is from RNAcentral.
ACUCCUGCGGGAGGCAGCAGUGGGGAAUAUUGCACAAUGGGCGCAAGCCUGAUGCAGCCAUGCCGCGUGUAUGAAGAAGGCCUUCGGGUUGUAAAGUACUUUCAGCGGGGAGGAAGGCGAUAAGGUUAAUAACCUUGUCGAUUGACGUUACCCGCAGAAGAAGCACCGGCUAACUCCGUGCCAGCAGCCGCGGUAAUACGGAGGGUGCAAGCGUUAAUCGGAAUUACUGGGCGUAAAGCGCACGCAGGCGGUCUGUCAAGUCGGAUGUGAAAUCCCCGGGCUCAACCUGGGAACUGCAUUCGAAACUGGCAGGCUAGAGUCUUGUAGAGGGGGGUAGAAUUCCAGGUGUAGCGGUGAAAUGCGUAGAGAUCUGGAGGAAUACCGGUGGCGAAGGCGGCCCCCUGGACAAAGACUGACGCUCAGGUGCGAAAGCGUGGGGAGCAAACAGGAUUAGAAACCCUAGUAGUCCCAUGA